RNAcentral lists this ribosomal RNA (406 nucleotides) under uncultured bacterium. Its description in RNAcentral is "partial 16S ribosomal RNA". It matches the Rfam family "Bacterial small subunit ribosomal RNA", at positions 29 to 526 of the family's 1533-position model. The record is from RNAcentral.
AUUGAACGCUGGCGGCAGGCCUAACACAUGCAAGUAGAACGCGUCGCGGACGGGUGCGUAAGGUCUGAGAAACUGCCUGAUGGAGGGGGAAAACUACUGGAAACGGUAGCUAAUACAGCAUACCAACGGAUGUGCCACGAUGGGAUUAGCUAGUAGGUGGGGUAACGGCUCACCUAGGCGACGAACCCUAGCUGGUCUGAGAGGAUGACCAGCCAGUCUGUAACGGAGACACAGUCCAGACUCCUACGGGAGGCAGCAGUGGGGAAUAUUGCACAAUGGGCGCAAGCCAGAUGCAGCCAUGACGCGUGUAUGAAGAAGGCCUUCGGGUUGUAAAGGACUUUGAGAGGGGAGGCGUAACCCGCAGAAGAAUCACAGGCUAAGUCCGUGCCAGCAGCCGCGGUAAUUC